Molecule: ribosomal RNA, 433 nt
Filed under: uncultured bacterium
Lineage: Bacteria
Description: partial 16S ribosomal RNA
Rfam family: Bacterial small subunit ribosomal RNA
Source: RNAcentral
AGCGAACGCUGGCGGCAGGCCUAACACAUGCGAGUCGAACGAACUCUUCGGAGUUAGUGGCGGACGGGUGAGUAACACGUGGGAACGUGCCUUUAGGUUCGGAAUAACUCAGGGAAACUUGUGCUAAUACCGAAUGUGCCCUUCGGGGGAAAGAUUUAUCGCCUUUAGAGCGGCCCGCGUCUGAUUAGCUAGUUGGUGAGGUAAAGGCUCACCAAGGCGACGAUCAGGAGCUGGUCUGAGAGGAUGAUCAGCCACAUUGGGACUGCGACACGGCCCAAACUCCUACGGGAGGCAGCAGUGGGGAAUCUUGCGCACUGGGCGAAAGCCUGACGCAGCCAUGCCGCGUGAAUGAUGAAGGUCUUAGGAUUGUAAAAUUCUUUCACCGGGGACGAUAAUGACGGUACCCGGAGAAGAAGCCCCGGCUAACUUCGUG